UGCCAGCAGCCGCGGUAAUACGUAAGUCCCAAGCGUUACCCGGAAUUAUUGGGUGUAAAGGGUCCGUAGGUGGACUUGCAAGUCAGGUAUGAAAGACCGGAGCUCAACUCCGAGUUUGUGCUUGAAACUGCAAGUCUAGAAUCAGGGAGAGGUUAGCGGAAUUCUUAGUGUAGGGGUGCAAUCCGUAGAUACUAAGAAGAACACCAAAAGCGAAGGCAGCUAACUGGAACUCGAUUGACACUGAGGGACGAAAGCGUGGGGAGCGAAGAGGAUUAGAUA
RNAcentral lists this ribosomal RNA (279 nucleotides) under uncultured bacterium. Its description in RNAcentral is "partial 16S ribosomal RNA". It matches the Rfam family "Bacterial small subunit ribosomal RNA", at positions 506 to 784 of the family's 1533-position model. The record is from RNAcentral.